CAAUAGCGUAUAUUAAAGUUGUUGCGGUUAAAAAGCUCGUAGUUGGAUUUCUGCUGAGAACGACCGGUCCGCCCUCUGGGUGUGUAUCUGGCUCUUUCUUGGCAUCUUCUUGGUGAACGUUGCUGCACUUGACUGUGUGGAGCGCUACCCAGGACUUUUACUUUGAGGAAAUUAGAGUGUUUCAAGCAGGCAUACGCCUUGAAUACAUUAGCAUGGAAUAAUAAGAUAGGACCUCGGUUCUAUUUUGUUGGUUUCUAGAGCUGAGGUAAUGAUUAAUAGGGAUAGUUGGGGGCAUUCGUAUUUAACUGUCAGAGGUGAAACUCUUGGAUUUGUUAAAGACGGACUACUGCGAAAGCAUUUGCCAAGGAUGUUUUCAUUG
RNAcentral lists this ribosomal RNA (379 nucleotides) under uncultured eukaryote. Its description in RNAcentral is "partial 18S ribosomal RNA". It matches the Rfam family "Eukaryotic small subunit ribosomal RNA", at positions 592 to 975 of the family's 1831-position model. The record is from RNAcentral.